AUUAAUAACAGGGACUCUUCCUAUUCAAACGCAGUCUCCAGACCGUCACAGAGCUGUUGUGUUUCAGCAGAGGCCUGAAGAGUGGACACAGAUAAACCUCAUCUUACUUGAAGUUUAAGCAGAAUUUCCAAAUGUCUUUAAAAACAUAGAUGUUUUUCUUUUUUUUUCUUCUACUGAGUGUCAUCUGUUUUUGCCUCGGUUGCUGUUUCCCCACUUUUUCUGUGUAUGGGACCCAGACUCAUGCCAGAGAGUUGUGUUUUUUGGCAGGGAGGACGGGGUGACGUCGACAGGCGUGGUAAUAACAAUGAGAACACUAUUAAGUCCAGACUACGCGGGGUCUCGGAGAAAGAGAGAGAAGGAGAGGAAAAAAAUGUGGGGUGUGCCCUUAAAAUAUUAAAUUUAUGUAUUGAAACUCUCAUACCUGAGGUGGUAAAAAACUUUCACUCGAACUGAAACAAAUGCGACCACACUUUAUGGCAUUGGAGUUUCCUGUGAGUCGGGGAGUGCGCACAGAGAAUCCGAGCAGUACAGUACAUAGGAAAUGACUCAUAGGAGUGGAGCUGUUAGCGUGGGUGUGUGCGCGCUAUUAAAACAAGGCGCAGACUCCUCCGUAUGACUCACUCUGAUGCUCGCUUUUCCAUGCUGAAAACCAGCACGGACUGUUAAUCAGAUGAACUUUCGGGAAUUGUGUAGCCGACAGCGAGCAGCUUUCCCUCCGCAGAUAUCAUGGCUUUAAACGCUCUUUGCGCGCUCUGCGGACUUAUUAUUGCGGCGGUGACCACUUUCCAUGGUGUGAGCGCGCAGAAAAGUCAGUGUCGGAGCUCGGAGUUCUGGAGCUCAGACUAUGAUGGUUGCUUGCCCUGUGAAUCAUGCAAGCAGUACCCGAAAACCCCGUCCUGCAACACAUGCAAAUCAGUGGAUGAGACACCCGACGUCUGGAAACUGGCAGCAAUCACCAGCUUCUCAGUACUGGCUGUGGUGCUGGUCAGCGCUGCACUGAUCAUCGGGGUCAUGGUGCAUCGACGCAAGUCGCACAAACGGCCUUUACGUGAACCUAUCGAAGAAACUGCGGGGCCACUUUAUCAAGCUUAAACCACUCACCUCAUCUUCCUCUGAAAACUGAUGUAACAGAACCAAGGAGCCACUGGUUACUAGCCGGGCGGAGGAAACCUCUGAACGGCGAACCGUGUACUCUGACUGCAGGGUAUACCUCGACCAGAAAUGGACCUUCUUUUUUUUUUUUUUAUUUAUUAGACUGUUUGGUGAAGAGAUAAGCUCAGUUCUCAUGCUUGGUGUAGGUCCAGUGGUUAAAACAGGACUUGCAAUGAGCAAAUCUCACACCUCUGUAGGUAUAUUAACAGCAUUAUACUAGUGGUAUCAUCUUUUAGAACUUGUGUGCCUUCAUAUUCCACUCCGUUGAGAUUUUGAUCUGGAUCAUUGGGGGGGGGUUAGGCAGGUUUGACUGAGAAUUAACCGUAAAACUAGAGUCUGCACGCCUGCAUUGCGUUGUGCUGUUUUCAGCAGGACUCCAGUGAAUGUAACACAGCUACAUCCGCCAGCUGGGCCACAGUUUGAUCCCCCCUGCUGUUCAGCGGGGUAACACAGGGCCUCUCUGUUGGUCAUUUACCACAACAGCCUCUGAAAGAUAGAUCACAUGUGAGUAACACAUACUGUUUGGCACAUUAAGGCCAUAUGAAUGUAGCUACCUUUUAAAAAAUCUUUUUAGGUGAAUUGUACUCCAACCUUUGUUCCUGCCAGUACCUGUUCUUGUAGUUGCCUGACGCAGUGAGAACGCUGUUGAGUAAAGGAGCAAACUGUACUCAUGCACUGUUACUGGGUCUCCUGAGACCAACACAGACCAUUUAUUGCAGGUCACUAAAAUAUUGUCUUGUCUGUUUUUUUUUCUUUUAUUUCAUUUAGAGUUUAGAUGUCAUUUUUGCCUAAAACAAACCCUGAAUUCACAUGACUGUUGCAGCAGCGCUUUGUAACCCAGGAUGCUUGAAACACUAGACGUACAGCCCCAAACUGCUAACAUGUGAGAAUGUUGUGAGGAAUGUACUGCAGAGAGGAAAACUAACUACACCUACAGUGUUUUAAACGGAGCUUCAGCAAUCACAGCGCUUUUCAGAUCUGCAGCAAGGCAAAAAAAAAAAAAAAUGGUUGCAACUGCAGUGGUCUGUAAUUUUGUUGCCGCUGAAGCCAACACGAACCACAGUGGACAGGGUUGUUGUUUUCAGCUUUUUUUUAAAUGUUUUUUUUCUCUUACCAACAUUGAACACGAUUCUUGUGAAUCCUUGUGAUAAUUUGGCACCGACAAUGAUUCAGGUCACGGAUCUGUCUGCUUGUGGGUGAACUGCUUGCCCUCUGGCAACAAAAUUGGGGAACCAUUUAACAUACAUUUUAUUGUCUGUUUUUGUUUCUUUUUUUAAUUUUUUAAAAGAGGUCUAUAUUAUUUAUUUUAGUAUGUUGAGCUGUUGUAAUGCAACGAGUGUGACAGACAAGCACAGUUUUAAAGGGACACCAGUGAAGAUUUUUUCAAAACGUCCACCAGGCCAGCUAUUACUGAACAAUAUCUUAACAUUUUCUACUUGUUUCUCUUGCCUUCUAGUUCUUCUUGUAUAUAAUGUAAAUGCACUGGCUUUUACUUAAUGCAAUCUUUAUAAACUGCUUUUUGUGUAGCAAAUGUAUUUUCACAAUAAAACUGACAAUUUCCAU
Oreochromis aureus is the source of this 2715-nucleotide long non-coding RNA. NCBI's taxonomy places the organism in Eukaryota, Metazoa, Chordata, Actinopteri, Cichliformes, Cichlidae. The record is from Ensembl.